This 484-nucleotide ribosomal RNA is filed under the name uncultured bacterium. RNAcentral describes it as "partial 16S ribosomal RNA". It matches the Rfam family "Bacterial small subunit ribosomal RNA", at positions 28 to 523 of the family's 1533-position model. The record is from RNAcentral.
GAUGAACGCUGGCGGCGUGCUUAACACAUGCAAGUCGAACGGUGAAGCAGGAGCUUGCCCUUGUGGAUCAGUGGCGAACGGGUGAGUAACACGUGAGCAACCUGCCCCUGACUCUGGGAUAAGCGCUGGAAACGGCGUCUAAUACUGGAUAUGUGAUGUGACCGCAUGGUCUGCAUCUGGAAAGAAUUUCGGUUGGGGAUGGGCUCGCGGCCUAUCAGCUUGUUGGUGAGGUAAUGGCUCACCAAGGCGUCGACGGGUAGCCGGCCUGAGAGGGUGACCGGCCACACUGGGACUGAGACACGGCCCAGACUCCUACGGGAGGCAGCAGUGGGGAAUAUUGCACAAUGGGCGGAAGCCUGAUGCAGCAACGCCGCGUGAAGGAUGACGGCCUUCGGGUUGUAAACCUCUUUUAGCAGGGAAGAAGCGAAAGUGACGGUACCUGCAGAAAAAGCACCGGCUAACUACGUGCCAGCAGCCGCAGUAA